RNAcentral lists this non-coding RNA (31 nucleotides) under Mus musculus (house mouse). Lineage: Eukaryota; Metazoa; Chordata; Mammalia; Rodentia; Muridae. The record is from RNAcentral.
UUGGCAUUUCACUUUCCCUGAAUUUUUUGGC